UCGAGAAUCUUCGGCAAUGGGCGCAAGCCUGACCGAGCGACGCCGCGUGCGAGAUGAAGGCCUUCGGGUUGUAAAUCGCUGUCAGAGGGGAGGAAGUGCCGGUGGGUUCUCCCAUCGGUUUGACCUAUCCUCAGAGGAAGGACGGGCUAAGUUCGUGCCAGCAGCCGCGGUAAGACGAACCGUCCAAACGUUAUUCGGAAUCACUGGGCUUAAAGGGUGCGUAGGCGGUCCGGGAAGUUGGGUGUGAAAGCCCUCGGCUCAACCGAGGAAUUGCGCCCAAAACUUCCGGACUUGAGGGAGACAUAGGUGAGCGGAACUUAGGGUGGAGCGGUGAAAUGCGUUGAGAUCCUAAGGAACACCAGUAGCGAAAGCGGCUCACUGGGUCUCUUCUGACGCUGAGGCACGAAAGCUAGGGGAGCGAAGAG
Molecule: ribosomal RNA, 425 nt
Filed under: uncultured bacterium
Lineage: Bacteria
Description: bacterial SSU rRNA
Rfam family: Bacterial small subunit ribosomal RNA
Source: RNAcentral